CCCUGUGGUGCUUUGUAAAUGAGGAGUCUAAAUGGCAGCCCUAACCUUGGACUCAUCUCAACCAGCACGGGAGAACGGGAGAACGAACUCAACUAGGAGACCACAGAGAACCAAGUUUCCACAUCUAAGAGCAUGGAAUACCUGCAUGGCAGGAAACCAGUCAUCUGAGGCACAGCGGACACCCACACAAUCCAAGCCUUUAUGAAGUCACAGCAGGGACGGAAAUCGACUUCAUUCUGAGCAGCUGCUGGUACAGGGCACUGUGUAGGUGGCUCUUACAGGCAUUCUAUUACUCAGUCUUGGUAAAGUUCCAUCACUGCAGGACCAGAGCCUCUAUGCUGGGUAGGAGAAAUGUAUCUUGCUGUUUUGCUGAGAGCUCUGGACUCUCCAGUGUAAAGUUCAGGCAAACCAGACCUAUCUAGCCCAUGACGAGUGUUGGGACGUACAGCAGAGCCUGUCUCUGACCACCUCCUCACAUCUGCACCAACCCACAAACAGAUGGUUAAUCUAGGAAUCAAAUGAAGAAAUGGUCAACUCAUUAUGAAGAAAAUUCUACUGGAGUCUGGAGUCUACUAAUUUUGUACAUCUUGAGCAAUUGCUUCUCCUUGUAAAUAUCAUGUGGUGGGAUUUGGAUGCAGAAGAUCUUCGAGAACAGACUCCGUGUGCUGGCGUUCUAGGCUGGAGUCCAGCAACAGUUCGACCGCAGAUGAAGUGCUUCAGAUGGUUGGCGUUGUCAGCCAGAGCCUCGAGGACUUUCCUGGGGCUACACCUCUCCAGAAGUUUGAAGAUGUGGGGACAGGUUUGCCUUUCAGAAACGUGCGAAUGUCACCAGCUGGGAGUGGCAGAUGCCAAGAGCCGGUCUGAAAACAGAUCUCCAUCUGGCAAUGGGCUAGGCUUCCUGGGACACAGAUUAGAAUGCUUUGUAACCAAAGGGCGG
RNAcentral lists this long non-coding RNA (937 nucleotides) under Mus spicilegus (steppe mouse). RNAcentral's name for it is "lncRNA (ENSMSIG00000006440.1)". The record is from RNAcentral. Lineage: Eukaryota; Metazoa; Chordata; Mammalia; Rodentia; Muridae.